Molecule: long non-coding RNA, 3064 nt
Organism: Bubalus bubalis (water buffalo)
Lineage: Eukaryota; Metazoa; Chordata; Mammalia; Artiodactyla; Bovidae
Exons: 4
Source: RefSeq, a predicted model, not a curated record
GGCCCAGCAGGGCACCUAGCUGAUGCUAGAGAAAGAUCCAAGGACUUCCCUGGUUAAGUGACUUCAGUGGUUACGACGCCAUGCUUCCAAUGCAGGAGGCACAGAUUUGAUCCCUGGUUCGGGGAACUAAGAUCUCACAUACCACGUGCUGUUGUUGUUUAAUCACUUAAGUCGUAUCCAAUUCUUUGCGACCUCCAAAAAAUGAUAAAGAAAAAAAAAAUUAGGGAAAGAUCCAGGCAUCCAGGAAUGUGUGAGUACUUAUAUAAGAGUAUGUGCUCAGGCAGGCCACCCAGCUGGCUGAUGACUAAUGUCUGGGGACUGCCUUUGACUUGUCUUGCUGUAGUGGUAGCGUGUGUAUGUGUGUUGAUCCCCUCAAGUGCAGCCCCCAAGGACCUGAGAAUUCAGCCUGAAGUUGAGGCAGCUGUUUGUGCUAGUUGGCUGUGGUCACCCGAGGGGAGGUGGAGUGGCUGAGAUGGGCCGCCACCUAGUGACGGGCCUUUAAAGUAGGAGGGAGGGAAUGCAAGUUGACCCAAUGCCCGGCCCAGCAUUACAAGGUUUGCAACACGUGGUCACACCUGAUCCUUAUAAUUACUCUAAUCAGGGAUUAUUGUUCCCAGUUUACUGAUGAGAAACAGAUUCAGAGAAGUUCUGCGGCUUGCCUUAAGGCCACAUAAUUAACCAGUGAGGAUUUGAACCCCAAUCUAUCUGACACCAUGCAUUUUCUUCCUCAUAGGGGAGCCUCUAGCUUCAGUAGGUGCCGGUGGACAGUGGGCACAUAGGCUAGCUGGCUACUCAGCAAGGGUGAGGGGAAGCCCUUGGCAUGGCUGGCCCUGGGCACAGGAAGCGUGAGUGCAGAGCUUGAGCGCUCAUAGUGUGUGGCUUGGGCUUGCUGGGGCUUGCUGUGGUGCUCGUCCCUGUCUGCAGCCUUGAGCUUCUCUAUGCUCAGUGUCAGUGCCAUGAGUCGGAAGAACAAGAGAAACUCAGCACUGGGCCCCAAGGAAUUCACAGAUUUAAGACAGAAGGAAAAACUGAGGCCCAGAGAGAUUAAGCUAAGAGGCAGCAGAGAUGGGAUUCAGGCCCAUCCAGAGUCCACAUGACGUUGCCUUCCACCUAGGCCUGCUGCGACCACCCAGGAUGUCCUACAGCCGUUCUUGACCAGCAUCUAGUUGCUCUGCACCUGCCCUCAGAAGAAUGGUCUUUGCCAGGAAAGACCACCCAGGAUGUCCCAAUGCAUUUGCAGUGCGCACAGCAGAAGACAGAGGACACUCUUAAGUGUGCAAUGUAGGAACUGCAUGUGAGAGCUGACAACGCUCUUGGAGCCCCAUCACCCUUCCCAAGCCAGCAGGCGGCCUUUAAGAAGGGCGUGGUGCUUACCAAGCCACGGUGAUCCUUGGGUCCAAAUAAUUGAGUUUAGAGGUUCCCAAAGCAAUCUGUUUAUUCUCCUCUCGGUCUGUGGCCUGAACUUCGAGCUUCAUCAGCUGUUCCUCCAGCCUCUGGACAGCUUUCUUCUUUGACUCUACAACCCUGGAAGAAAGGAAGUCAUCAGGAACUGGGCCUGGCCUCUGGACAGGAGCACAGUAUCCCCACACUGCCACCCAGGGGCAGUAAAAGCAGAAAAGCCACAGGCCCAAACAUUUCUAGAAUGUCACUCAGAAACCCUAGGAAAGCUAGGACCUCUGGUUGAUGCUGGGACCCUUUUCCUCUCUCACCCAACCCCCAGCUUUGCAUCACACCAGGCACGUACUUCUUGGUCUUUGCAUCCUUCAGGACUUUAGCAUCAGCCUUAGCACUUUUCAGGUCUCUCCGGGCAUCUGCUAGCUGUUCCUUCUUCGCAUCAAUCUGGAUAGGGAAGAACAACAGUAAAUUCAGGAAUAAAAUAAGUCCAAAGAGAAAACAGGAUUCCUUAAGAGAAGAUGUCUUCACCAAGUAGGCUGUUCUUGAUAAAACGCCCAGGGGUGGCUUCAUGACGGCACAGAGUGGGUAUGCAGCGGGUGCUGAAUUCCAGGACCAUUUAUAUUCUUCAGUCACCCUUGAAGAAAUGAAGGUUUUAUGGCAAUGACUCUGGGACCCAUUAAUCCAGAAACUCAGGGAAAGAACCCACUGGGACUGGGAGUGUGGGUACUAAUCUUUCAAUCAGGGAACACUUUGGUUUUAGAUACUGGGAAGAGGAUGACAGGUGAAAGCUGUUCAUCAAAUGGAUCCUGUGCCAGGUUGUCACCUCCAUCCCAAGAAUCCUGCAGGAGAUACUGUUUAUGAAGCUGAGACAAGAGUCGCUAUAUCUACUGAGCUCAGCUCAUUCCUCGGAUUCUACCAGCACUCUGAGAAGAGCUGCUAAUUCCUCCAGAAAAAAAAAAAAAGAUGCACUGAAGAGAAUACCCAAGGGACUAGAAAAUGGCAAUUAAAAGGUACCCAGGAAGCCAAACCACUUAGCCUCAUCUGUUCCAAGCCAAUAUGUGGCAUGGCCUGGCUCUGGCAUUCCAUUUUUAAAAGGCGAGAAAGCUGAGACAGAAUGGAAAUUCAAAUAGUUAUCAUUCAAAGCAGAUUUGAAAACUUUUUAGCUAUGGAGCUCUUUCUCCAAAUGAAAUCUCCUGGGGCCCCAAUCUUUAGAGACAGUCGCAGCCUCUCUUGCUUGAGAGCGCUGGUUCUGCGUUCUCAGUUCCCACUUGAGGAUAGCAGCAGGCAACACCGUGAGGCUGGGGCCCCAGAGUGGUGAGCUCACAGCUGGGGCAGGCGAACCCUGACCUGCUAUCACCGUGCUAACCCUAAGAUCAGGGGAACCUCUGCAGAAUAAAUGCACGCCCGACUCCUAUACACUGGGCUGUUGCUCUCAGCCUGGCAUUGUCUGUUAGAUUUACACACACAGCCCAAGACUGGAAACACAGGCCAUCAUUGUGAGAGAAUCAUUAAAUGCAUUUUACUACGAAUGGCUUACUUCCAACAUCUAUGUUGUCCAAAGUCAAACUGAAGGAACUGACUCUACACAAAAGCGUCACAGAUACCACUAGCCAGAUUCUUCUUAGGCUAGAAAUGCAACAAACCACAAUCUUUUAACCAUUUCUGUGAA